CUACGGCAGGAUCAGUCUCUGAACAAAUAAUUCUGCUCUUCCCUGUUUUCAGCGUUUCUGUGGUUCCCUCCCUCAUUCUACAGCUGGGAGCACCAGGGACAGGGAAGAAGGAACUCCUGCAGCCGGGCCGGUUUCGUUGCUUUAAGCAACAGUGAUGUUUUUUCUGCUUUUCUGAAGGGUGUUUGUCCUGCCUCUAGCUGUUCAAAGUCCUAAUAUUGUUAUUGCUAAGAAAGGCAUUUGACACAGCUCCAGAGCAGUCACAGCCAACACCUCCAUGGCCCUUUGGGGGUUCUUGGAAACAAUAGGAAAUGGAUCAUCUUGACUGAGGUUACCUGUAGCUCCAGCCUCACUGAAAAACAUUGUUUUGAUAUAGGCAAGUGGUUUGAACAAGUUAUAUCCCAGGACCAUUGGCUCUGGAAGAGAAGAUACUGCCAGCUAUGAGCACAGUAAUAAGAUUACCUAGAAUCCCCAGAGAAACUAUCUUGGUCAGUGUGCAGAUUUCUGCCUUUCUGUGCCUCAUCUUUUAUAAAUAUAUAAGCAGGAAGAUAAUCAUUUUUAUCUCAGAAGAUGUGUUCUCGAGUUUUACUUCAUUAACACCUGCAUGGAGCCUGCAACAGAAAAUCAAUUCACUUUUAAAUCAAAAUCCUGGUUUCAAACACUGUUGGAUGUACUGAAACCAGACCUGUACACUGACAAAUUCACUUCCCAGCUAUCCCUGAGCACGUCAUUGGAACGUCAUCAAUGUCACUGAUGUCUUGCAUUAUCAACGAUGUACCAACAGUACAAGUUCUCCUACAAUUGUUUCAUUAAUUGAUAUGAAAAAGAUCAUCUAGAGAUCUAAAUAUAAAAAUCAUACCUGCAGAUGACAAAUAAAUGACUCAUUUUACAGUGACACACUUCCUCCUUUUCUUGUGCUACAGAAGGCAGUUUCAUACAGGUUCAUAACAUUUUCCACAAAAACAGUGGUAAAUAUUUUUUAUAUUGCCACAAAUACAUAAAAAUAUUUAUAUGUCUCUUUUCAGCCACAAACAAAGUUACGAGAAGACAUUGAAUAAUUCUAAAUGAACUAGUAAAUACAGUGGCACAGUGAAAAAUUUCCAUUCAAGGCAGGGUCUUAUGACCCAAAGAAACAAAAAAAUUUUCUUUUCCCAAUUAAAAUCUUAAGCUGUGUUUGAAGCAGUAUCUAGGAAUUCAAAUUCAGUAUGUUCAGUUAGCUUUUCUCUUCUACUGUGGUGUCUGAAAUAAAAUGUCAUUUUAAAACAAAUACAGCUGAAAGACACAUAUAUGGGGGAUUGCUGUUAAAAAAAAGGAUAAGACUUGACUGAAGUUAAAGGAAGAGUGCUGGAUUUCAGUCUUGGAAAGAUGAUUAAAUGUAUUAGAUAAAUUUAUCUGGCUAAUUUAGUCAGUAAGUGAACAGCAGAAGUGUUCAACAUCACAUUGUUUGAUCACUAUUGCAAUUCAGUUGUUGCUGAGUGGGGACACUGAAACAGAAAGGGAAAUUAAAUAGUCUGAAAAAAGAAAUUAAUCAAUCCAACGUUUGUUUCCAGAUGUCCAUUACCAGAAUUCACUUCUAGUCUAAUCUAGUCAUCCAAGAUUUGUGUUUAAACUGUCACUGGUGGUAUUCAGUUUAUUAAACCUCAGGUGGCCAGGCCAUUGUUUUCAGUGAAAGUUUAUGGCUUGAUGCAGUUGCCUAAGCCUAGAUAUCCAGCAGCAUUUGGAAGGAUAGCUGAGGAAAUCCAUAAACAUAUGUGAGACAGGAUCUGUGGGACACUCCAGAGGCCAGGAAAGAAGCCUUUAGACAUCUAAACCAGCAGGGGAUGCCCGUGGCUGGAAAACUGAAUUAGGUCCCGCUCCAUGCAAUGAACAGAGUCGACCUGUCAAGGAACCUCCCUCUACAGGUGGUGCUUGCACUUGGCCACAGGAAUUAACAUCACAUUAUGCUAGUUCAGAUAUUUUUUGUUGCAAAAAGAGCCUAGACACCCUGCAGAGGUAUAGUUAAUGGCUUACACAAGCCCCUUCAGUGGGAUGAGCCAAAUCCAAUCCUUGAUAUCUAAAGAAAACAAAGAGCAGAGCAGAAAUGCUGCUUUCCUUUUGCAGACUCCAAAAUAGUUGACAUAUUAUCAUCACCUGUUCCUCUGCAGGGAUUAUGCAUUGUUUUGCAAUUGUAAAAUCUUAGUCUCAGUAGAGCUGCUCUUUAGGUACUUCUAAAAUAACCAAUUCGGAAUCAUACAAAUUGCUCUGUUUUGGACAAGAUCCAUUUAACAGGUGACAAUACUGCUACACAGAUAAGUUUUCAAGGCCAGCAAGAAGUAAUCAGUUUACAAAUCCAAACAUUUUUCACUCCAAAAAUGUAGGUGCUGAGAUGUUUCAAAAGAAAAAACCAGUCCAUGCUGGGAUAAGAGCCUUGUUUUCAGAACAUCAAAGAGGG
This is a long non-coding RNA of Pyrgilauda ruficollis (rufous-necked snowfinch), 2428 nucleotides long. RefSeq lists it as uncharacterized. The record is from RefSeq and is a predicted model, not a curated record. Lineage: Eukaryota; Metazoa; Chordata; Aves; Passeriformes; Passeridae. The transcript is spliced from 4 exons.